ACGUAGGGUGCGAGCGUUAAUCGGAAUUACUGGGCGUAAAGCGUGCGUAGGCGGUUCGUUAAGUGCGUCGUGAAAGCCCCGGGCUCAACCUGGGAAUGGCGAUGGAAACUGGCGGGCUGGAGUAUGGCAGAGGGGGGUGGAAUUCCGCGUGUAGCAGUGAAAUGCGUAGAGAUGCGGAGGAACACCGAUGGCGAAGGCAGCCCCCUGGGCC
Molecule: ribosomal RNA, 211 nt
Filed under: uncultured prokaryote
Description: partial 16S ribosomal RNA
Rfam family: Bacterial small subunit ribosomal RNA
Source: RNAcentral